GAUGAAGAACGUAGCGAAAUGCGAUAAGUAGUGUGAAUUGCAGAAUUCAGUGAAUCAUCGAAUCUUUGAACGCACAUUGCGCCCCUUGGUAUUCCAUGGGGCAUGCCUGUUCGAGCGUCAUAUGUACCUUCAAGCUUUGCUUGGUGUUGGGUGUUUGUCCUGAGGGACUCGCCUUAAAGUAAUUGGCAGCCAGUGUUUGGUUUUGAAGCGCAGCACAAGUCGCGAUUCAAAGCUAUACGCCCGCUUCCACAAGCCUUUUUCACUUUUGACCUCGGAUCAGGUAGGGAUACCCGCUGAACUUAAGCAUAUCAAUAAGCGGAGGA
Molecule: unclassified non-coding RNA, 323 nt
Filed under: soil metagenome
Description: partial contains 5.8S ribosomal RNA, internal transcribed spacer 2, and large subunit ribosomal RNA
Rfam family: 5.8S ribosomal RNA (bases 1-120)
Source: RNAcentral